UUAGUAUAUUUCUUAAUAAAUGAUCAGUAAACAAAGAAAACAUCUUUUCACGCGUUUCCGUAAUAUUUGAAGUUCUAGGUCUGAUCACCAAUUCCCUUGGCCAGUUCACUUUUCUUUCUUCUUUCUGUCUCCCUGAACACACACUUCUUUACUACGAGGUCCCCUGUUCAAUUUCUUCUUUCCCUGGAAGAACACUUCUUUCUUCUUUUCCUCUUCCCGGUUUUAACGUUUCACCGUCUAGUCUCCUCCCCAGUUUUAGGGAUCUCCGACGGCUAGGGGUAGCCCAGACCGUAGAGGUAGAGAGAGGGAGUGGUGAAGAAGAAGGUAGAGGCCGGCGGCGGCGCCGGUCCGACCGCACCGCCGCGCGGUGGGUCGUGGAGGUGUGCGAGGUGUGGCGGCGGUAGGUAGUGGUGGUGAGGGGCGAAGUGGCACGGUGGUAGUGGUGGCGUGGUGACUCGUGGAGGCGCGCUCUCAAAGGAACGACGACGAGGAAGAAGGGAGCGGAACGACGACGAAGAUGACGAAGAAGAGGUUCGGGGCGACGACGAGGGAAGAACAACGCGGGGACGAGGAGGAAGAGGAGAGAGGUAGGGGUGCAACGACGACGAAGAAGAACGCUGAAGGACGAGGGAAGCGGAUGGAACGACGAGGGACAGAGAAGAGUCUUGGAAAACGACGAGGAGGAAGGGGGUGCUUGGACGACGACGAGGAAGGAGUUAGAGGAUGACGAAGAGAAGAAGAAGAUAGAACGGCGACGAAUAGAGAGAAAGACUUAAAAGACAUUAUCCUCUACACAUCAUGAACAUUCCAAGUCUAAAACUAUUCACAAACGUUGGUUGAUCAAACGAGUCAAGCAUGAACAAUUUAUAGUACAGGAUUUAAGAUACAAGACUUAUCACCUAAAGAACAACGAAACCCUUGAUUGAUUAUACGUUAUAAAACAAUGAAACCAUUAUACACAAGACAGUCGUAUAUACACACAAGUGGGACACAUAAAGAAGAGCGACAUGAUCAAUUAAAGAUGGUCAUUAAAAAUCAACAAUUUAUGACAACACAACAAGACACCCAUGAUUAGAACACCGAACCUUCUAAAGUAAAGACAACAGAGAACAAUUGGACUUGGCACCACAUCAUAGGACAAGCGUAUACACACCAAAACACACAAGACAUCAUGCACAUAAUCGAUACAUGGACACUAUAUAUUUACACACACACACACACACAAACUAAGCUAUGUUAAUAUAAAACAGUAUAUAAGAGCGAAGAAGGGAAACAAAUACAAACUAUCAUUACACAGGAACAGUACAAUACAAGUACAGGAAGGUGAAGAGAACAGUAACUACAUAUGAGCAUAAUCAUAAAAUUGAAGAGUUCGUAAUGCUUUUAUGGUUUUUCUGUUACUCAUUUUAGACUUAGAGGGAAAACGAAUAAAAGUAAAAGAAACAACAGCUGAAACCAAUCAAAUCCAGAUAUAAAGGAGCGUUAGUAGUAGACUUGAGACAGUGGAUCGAAAUCGGCUCGUAGUAACGGCAGCGGAUCAGGGACACCUCUUGUGCUGUGAGUGUCUUACCCCGUAAUUUUUGGGUGACAUGGAUGUUGACUAGUAAAACCGCGGCAACGGCCCCUGAUCGCAGUACGCUAACACAAUCCGAUAUCUGAUCCAAAAAGAAGAAAGAGAUCAAACACGGUAUGUAAACACUAUACAGAGAUUAGUGAUUGGGGACAAGAUCGAUCAUAGAAAAACAAAAGAAAAGGAAAACGUCCAAUCUCGAUAGAUGAACCAAUACCGUAUAAUAAGUCUAACAGAGCCUCUACGCUCCUUGUGAUGUUUGUCGUACCUUUCAUAAGUUCUUGACUAUUCAUUAUAAAGGGUAGCUAAUCUACUAAAUCGAGCCGUCGCUCUUCAUCAAAAACUCCUAUCCGGAUCGAGAAUACUAGGAAUAAGAUCUCCAGUAGGAAUACAACGAGGAUGUACGGUAUAAACAUCUAAAGUCCCGGUAAGUGGGCGGCUUACAGUCGCACCAAUGAGAGUGCGAGGGCUAACAAUACCGUACUCGAAGCGGGGUGUCGGUUCGAGUAUGGUUUUGUUAAUGAGUGUACCCACCGGACUUUUGGUCUUAUACAGUAUAUCCUCGUUGUUGGGACUCUAGAGUAGCAAACGGAGAUCAAUAGGUUACGUCCCUAAAUCCAUGUUACUCCUCUCGGUGUUGAUACGUGGUGUUGUUAAAAUAAGUGGAGGAUGAGUAUACGGAGUCGUGGUCCUCUACAACGGUUACCUCAAUUUACCAGGAGGUAAACCAGUUGGUUGUUAAGGUCGUGGAUAGCACGUUAGAGUACACGUUCACGGGUGUGUUCUACUCAAGCUACUGUAUCUGUUCGAGUGUGAAAACUCAGAGCUCAAGUGAACCUCACGGCUCCUACUAGGUUAAUCCGGCCACUAUGAUCUCCUUUACUUCUUCUAGUUCUCACCUUUUCUCGAUCACCUUCUUCAUUCCUUUUAAGUCUUCUUGUAGUUACGACCUUCAUGAUAGAGGAGGGAGGAACUGACUCAGAACGGCUCUAAGGGGAAGUAUGUACACUCCAAGGUUGUGGCAGUGUGGGUCGACUCGUUCUAUCGCUCUCAGGUCUCUUUCUCUCUGGAGUCUAACUUCUACUUAAUCUUCUGUUCCUUGUUCUACUAGUUCUCGACGUUAAGGGUUCACUAGUUCUACUUCUAGACGAUGGAUAGUGAGUACUUCUUCAUUUUCUUCGACUACAUCAACUUCUACUUCUUGGACUCUAAGUAAAAGGAUAACAGUAUGUUCUCGUACUAUAUCAUCCAAAUAGAUUAGGAGAGCUACUGUACGCAGGUAUACUUAACAAACGAUGAUGGAACGUAACGUACUACAAUAGACAAUUUCAUCUAAACUUCUUCACAAACGAACCUAUACUACUAUGUAUAUGACAACCACCGUAACGAGUAUAAUUACUACUAGUGUGAAUAAAAGGAGUACGGUUUGGAUACGAAUUACUAUUUAUAGUAGGAGUACAAUCAUAACUCGAACUACUAAGGAUAGUAUGAGCGGUACAAGAAAUAUCGAUACGAAUACAUUAACCCAUGAGAUAACUACUAAAUCUCCCGUAAUGGGGAAAGUGAACAUACCAGAGAAAACAGCUCACGAGAAAGUCCAAAAACGAUGACGUGGCAAGUGAUGUACGACUGGUCCAAGCUCCACUGUAAGGAACCCUGGGACUACCUAAAUCUCGUACCACUUCUCCUCUUCGUUACCCGUGUAUGUUCCUUCUCUUUUCGACCUCGUACGUGCUCCUAUCUCUUCGUUUUCCUCUCCUCAGUGCUACGUUCUCCUACACUCUACUAGCUCGCUCAAGAUGAAGUAUUUCGGGCCACUCGACAAAGUACUGGGGUUAGACUUAUAUAGUAGAUAACUAUGUUCGACUUUAGUUAACGAUCAACCCAACGAACUCGGUAAAGAAUUUAUAGCAGGGUGACUUAAAAUGGAAGCUGUAUCCCACUAACUACACUUAUACACUUGACUCACAACUUACGGAACAUUUGAUCACUAGAUAUGUUACGAACGAAACGACUUUCAUCACCUUCGAUAAUCAAAACUCACGAGUUUAGGGAUCACGUGAUCUUUUGAAUUAGUAAAAAACGUAAAUGAUACUAUGUGGAUCUAGUGGUACAAAUCUACGACUUAAACACGAUUCACACAAGGGUAACUCUCGUUAGUGGAUUGGUGAUACCUAAUCGUACGAUACAAGGGACCUAGCCAUCGUACACUUGGUCUGUACCUCUUCACUACUAAGGACAAAAACACGAAUACGCAACAAGUAAAUUCUAUCGAUUAUUACUUAUUUAUUCAGACCAGAUGGAUGUCAUCGUACAGUACAAGGGAUCUAGCCACCGUACACUUUAGACCAUCGAACCUGUCAUUAUUUAUUUAUUUUUACAUUAACAGCUUGGUCCACAUAUGGUACAAGAGCCCUAGCCACCAUAUAAGGAAACCCCUCUUUUUGUUUUUUUUGAUUACUAACCAGCUCGGUCCACAUAUGGUACAAGAGCCCUAGCCACCAUACAAGGAAACCAUUCUGACUAUUUUAUAAUAGUAAUGAAAGAAGUUUAAGUUAUUCACCAAGUUGGUGUUUUAAAAUAAAGACGUUUAUUCUCUAAAUUAAGGUCAAGAAAAACAAGAGCCCUAGUACGAGAGAAAUCCUUGGUAAACCGCAUCAGUAGUAAAUUUGAACAACUAGGAGAAAAUAGUAACAUUUUACCAGUACGAAUGAUCAUAGGAUGAGGAAACAUCGUGAGAAUUGGUAGUUAAAAGUGAUCGAUUCAGGUUUCGUACGUAACAAACCUCUAGAUAAAAUGGUCCUGUAGGAAAUGAGUCGAGUGACAAGUAUAAGAACGAGAACAGUAGAUGGAAACAAACUCCUGUUCGUUUCUAAAUUCACACCCCCUUGAACUAGUUGUGUAAAGUGUAUGUAGAAGACCGUUAGUUUAUACACCAAAUAACUCAAAAUAAGUAAGUAAAGAACGAUACUUAACAACUUAAACACUUACUAUUAGUAUAUUUCUUAGUAAAUGAUCAGUAAACAAAGAAAACAUCUUUUCACGCGUUUCCGUGAUAUUUGAAGUUCUAGGUCUGAUCACCAAUUCCCUUGGCCAGUUCACUUUUCUUUCUUCUUUCUGUCUCCCUGAACACACACUUCUUUACUACGAGGUCCCCUGUUCAAUUUCUUCUUUCCCUGGAAGAACACUUCUUUCUUCUUUUCCUCUUCCCGGUUUUAACGUUUCACCGUCUAGUCUCCUCCCCAGUUUUAGGGAUCUCCGACGGCUAGGGGUAGCCCAGACCGUAGAGGUAGAGAGAGGGAGUGGUGAAGAAGAAGGUAGAGGCCGGCGGCGGCGCCGGUCCGACCGCACCGCCGCGCGGUGGGUCGUGGAGGUGUGCGAGGUGUGGCGGCGGUAGGUAGUGGUGGUGAGGGGCGAAGUGGCACGGUGGUAGUGGUGGCGUGGUGACUCGUGGAGGCGCGCUCUCAAAGGAACGACGACGAGGAAGAAGGGAGCGGAACGACAACGAAGAUGACGAAGAAGAGGUUCGGGGCGACGACGAGGGAAGAACAACGCGGGGACGAGGAGGAAGAGGAGAGAUGUAGGGGCGCAACGACGACGAAGAAGAACGCUGAAGGACGAGGGAAGUGGAUGGAAUGACGAAGGACAUAGAAGAGUCUUGGAAAACGACGAGGAGGAAGGGGGUGCUUGAACGACGACGAGGAAGGAGUUAGAGGAUGACGAAGAGAAGAAGAAGAUAGAACAGCGACGAAUAGAGAGAAAGACUUAAAAGACAUUAUCCUCUACACAUCAUGAACAUUCCAAGUCUAAAACAAUUCACAAACGUUGGUUGAUCAAACGAGUCAAGCAUGAACAAUUUAUAGUACAGUAUUUAAGAUACAAGACUUAUCACCUAAAGAACAACGAAACCCUUGAUUGAUUAUACGUUAUAAAACAAUGAAAGCAUUAUGCACAAGACAGUCGUAUAUACACACAAGU
Molecule: ribosomal RNA, 5548 nt
Filed under: Triticum aestivum (bread wheat)
Lineage: Eukaryota; Viridiplantae; Streptophyta; Magnoliopsida; Poales; Poaceae
Description: partial small subunit ribosomal RNA
Source: RNAcentral